This 72-nucleotide transfer RNA is filed under the name Felis catus (domestic cat). It matches the Rfam family "tRNA". From Rfam's summary of the family: Transfer RNA (tRNA) molecules are approximately 80 nucleotides in length. Their secondary structure includes four short double-helical elements and three loops (D, anti-codon, and T loops). Lineage: Eukaryota; Metazoa; Chordata; Mammalia; Carnivora; Felidae. RNAcentral also lists the same sequence under 2 other names. The record is from Rfam by way of RNAcentral.
GCCUUGCUGGCUCAGUCAGUAGAGCAUGAGACUCUGGAUCUCAGGGUUGUGAGUUUGAGCCCACGUUGGGUG